RNAcentral lists this transfer RNA (72 nucleotides) under Salix viminalis (osier). The record is from RNAcentral. Lineage: Eukaryota; Viridiplantae; Streptophyta; Magnoliopsida; Malpighiales; Salicaceae.
GCGCCUGUAGCUCAGUGAAUAAAGUUUUUGUUUCCUAAGCAGUGGUCAUUGGUUCGACCCCUAUUUGGUACU